CUGCAUAUCGGCAUUGGAGCUUCUCGCCAUAUUCGUUCGACCUUGCAAGCGAUCGCGAAUUCCACUAGUGAUCUUAGCUAGGCAUCUGGCUACUCGUUGCCAGCAGUCGCGGUAAUACGAAGGCUGCAAGCGUUACUCGGAAUUCACUGGGCGUAAAGCGCGCGCAGGCGGUCCAUGUAAGUUGGGAUGUGAAAGCCUACAGCUCAACUGUAGAGCUGCAUCCAUAAACUAUUUGGCUAGAGUGUGGGAGAGGAAGAUGGAAUUUAGCUGUGUACGGGGUAAAAUCCGUAGAGAUAACUAGGAAUACCAAAAGCGAAGGCAAUCUUCUGGAACAUUACUGACGCUGAGGCGCGAAAGCGUGGGGAGCAAACAGGAUUAGAUACCCUGGUAGUCCACGCCCUAAACGAUGAAUGUUAGUCGUCGGGUAGCUAGUCUAUUCGGUGAUGCAGCUAACGCAUUAAACAUUCCGCCUGGGGAGUACGGUCGCAAGAUUAAAACUCAAAGGAAUAGACGGGGACCCGCACAAGUGGUGGAGCAUGUGGUUUAAUUCGAAGAUACGCGAAGAACCUUACCUAGCCUUGACAUAUAUUAGAACACUUUAGAGAUAGAGUGGUGCCUUCGGGAGCUUUUAUACAGGUGCUGCACGGCUGUCGUCAGCUCGUGUCGUGAGAUGUUGGGUUAAGUCCCGCAACGAGCGCAACCCUCGUCACUAGUUACUAACGGUUCGGCCGAGGACUCUAGUGAGACUGCCUUCGUAAGGAGGAGGAAGGUGAGGACGACGUCAAGUCAUCAUGGCCCUUACGGCUAGGGCAACACACGUGCUACAAUGGCCAGGACAAUGAGAAGCGAUACCGCGAGGUGGAGCAAAUCUAUAAACCUGGUCUCAGUUCGGAUUGUAGUCUGCAACUCGACUACAUGAAGCUGGAAUCACUAGUAAUCGUAGAUCAGCUAUGCUACGGUGAAUACGUUCCCGGGUCUUGUACUCACCGCCCGUCACACCAUGGGAGUUGAUUUCACCCGAAGCGGGGAAGCUAAACUGGCUACCCUCCACGGUGGAAUUAGCGACUGGGGGGAAGUCGUAACAAGGUAACC
Molecule: ribosomal RNA, 1092 nt
Filed under: uncultured bacterium
Lineage: Bacteria
Description: bacterial SSU rRNA
Rfam family: Bacterial small subunit ribosomal RNA
Source: RNAcentral